ACUUCCUCCUUGGGACCAUUGGGAGUGAGUUCUGCCCUUUGGAAUGGGGUCUGUCAGCAGAAGGAGCAGCAACUGCACCUGGAGACUGCUUCCUUUAGAGUGUGGGGUGAACCCUUGAAACUGGGGCUGUGACCUUUCCCGUUUCUGGGGCAUCCUGACCACGUUGAAGUGCUGGCAGAUGUAAGGGCAAUGUUGAUCUCUGGAGACUGUCUCCUGUGGAGCAGGGAAAGCCAAGGAUUGUCCUCUUCUGGACUGCUGUACUCAGCAUCACCCCAGCGUGAUGAAGUGAAGCCCCUUGUCUGCUGAAUACUGGGACUGGCCCAGAGAGGCUCUGUGACGGAUGUGGAUUAUCCCAGCUGGAGUACCUGGUACCAUUGGUGGUGAUCUCGUCCAACUGCCACACAACGAACAGGAACAUCCACAGCCAGAUCAGGCUGCCCGGAGGCUGACGCAGCCUCACCUUGGAAGGGACAGGGCAUCCAUCACAUGUCUGGGUGUUGAAAGGCUGUUACCAGAUCACCUCGGAGCCUUCACUUCUGCAGGCUGAACAGCUCCAGCUCUCUCUCUUUAUAGGAAAG
This is a long non-coding RNA of Lagopus muta (rock ptarmigan), 578 nucleotides long. RefSeq lists it as uncharacterized. Lineage: Eukaryota; Metazoa; Chordata; Aves; Galliformes; Phasianidae. The transcript is spliced from 5 exons. The record is from RefSeq and is a predicted model, not a curated record.